CCCAGUGUAUGAAAAUGGCCGCGGUAUUUGACCGUGCGAAGGUAGCAUAAUCAAUAGUCUAUUAAUUGUAGUCUGGAAUGAACGGUUUAACGAGGGAUAACUUUCUUAAUCUUAUAGUUGAAUUUAAAUUAUUAGUGAAAAUGCUAAUAUAAUGAAGGGGGACGAGAAGACCCUGUGGAGUUUUAUAUUUAAGCAAUUUUGUUGGUAAUAAGUUUGUUUAUUAUAUUUUGCUGGGGCGGCAAUAAAGUAACAUUUAGUAUUAUAGCUCUAUUAAGAGAUAUUUGAUCCAUUAAUAGUGAUUUUUAGACUAAACUACCCCAGGGAUAACAGCGUAAUUUUAUUUUAGAGUUCUUAUCGAUAAUGAAGUUUGCGACCUCGAUGUUGGAUUAGGAUUCCUUUAUAGUGCAGAAGCUUAAUGAGGUGGUCUGUUCGACCAUUAAAUUCCUACAUGAUCUGAGUUCAAACCGGAGA
RNAcentral lists this ribosomal RNA (471 nucleotides) under Digitipes barnabasi. RNAcentral describes it as "partial 16S ribosomal RNA". It matches the Rfam family "Bacterial large subunit ribosomal RNA", at positions 1913 to 2622 of the family's 2925-position model. Lineage: Eukaryota; Metazoa; Arthropoda; Chilopoda; Scolopendromorpha; Scolopendridae. The record is from RNAcentral.